GUGAAUCAUCGAAUCUUUGAACGCAAAUUGCGCUUUCUGGCAUCCCGGGAAGUAUGCCUGUUUGAGGGUCAGUAAUAAUAAAAACUCGGUUUGGUCACAAAUUGAGACGUUUCCGGAGUUUGGGGUAUCUUAACAUUUUUGGUUAAGAGGCUUAAAAUUGACCUUUUUUGCUCAUUUUUAAACGUGC
RNAcentral lists this unclassified non-coding RNA (187 nucleotides) under Glomeraceae sp. RNAcentral's name for it is "partial contains 5.8S ribosomal RNA and internal transcribed spacer 2". The stretch from base 1 to 71 matches the Rfam family "5.8S ribosomal RNA", at positions 84 to 154 of the family's 154-position model. The record is from RNAcentral. Lineage: Eukaryota; Fungi; Glomeromycota; Glomeromycetes; Glomerales; Glomeraceae.